GACGAACGCUGACGGUGUGCUUUAGACAUGCAAGUCGAACGAGAAAGCCCUUCGGGUUAGUAAAGUGGCGAACGGGUGAGUAACACGUGGGUGACCUGCCCUCAGCUCUGGGAUAAGCCUGGGAAACCGGGUCUAAUACCGGAUAUGACCUCAUGACGCAUGUUGUGGGGUGGAAAGCCUUGUGCGGCUGAGGAUGGGCCCGCGGCCUAUCAGCUUGUUGGUGGGGUGAUGGCCACCAAGGCGACGACGGGUAGCCGGCCUGAGAGGGCGACCGGCCACACUGGGACUGAGAC
This 293-nucleotide ribosomal RNA is filed under the name uncultured bacterium. RNAcentral describes it as "partial 16S ribosomal RNA". It matches the Rfam family "Bacterial small subunit ribosomal RNA", at positions 28 to 325 of the family's 1533-position model. The record is from RNAcentral.